AGUCGAGCGGUACAUUUCUAGCUUGCUAGAAUAUGACGAGCGGCGGACGGGUGAGUAAUGCUUGGGAAUAUGCCUUUUGGUGGGGGACAACACUUGGAAACGACUGCUAAUACCGCAUGAUGUCUACAGACCAAAGUGGGGGACCUUUUGGCCUCUCGCCCAAAGAUUAUCCCAAGUGGGAUUAUCUCUUUGGUAAGGUAAUGGGUUACCACGGCGACAAUCCCUAUCUGGGUUGAGAGGAUGAUCACCCCCACUGGGACUGAGACACGGCCCCCACUCCUACGGGAGGCGGCACUGGGGAAUAUUGCGCAAUGUGCGCAAGCCUGAUACACCCCUGCCGCGUGUGUGAAAAAAGCCUUCUGGUUGUAUAGCACUUUCUCUAAAGAGGAAAGGUUAAAAGUUAAUAUCACUUAUCUGUGACGUUACUUACAGAAAAAACACCGGCUAUAUCCGUGUCACCAGCCGCGCUAAUACAGAGAGUGCGAGCGUUAAUCUCAAUUACUGGGCGUAAAGCGUACACACGCGGUUUGUUAAACGAGAUAUGAAAGCCCCGGGCUCAACCUGUGAACUGUAUUUCUAACUGUGAAACUAUAGUGUGAUAUAGAGUGUUAUAAUUUCACGUGUAGCGCUGAAAUGCGUAUAGAUCUCAAAGAAUACCCAUGGCGAAAGCACCCACCUGUGUCAACACUGAGGCUCAUAUACAAAAGCGUGUGGAGCAAACAGGAUUAUAUACCCUGGUAGUCUACACCCCAAACGAUGUCUACUANAAGCUCGCGUCCUCGGAAAUGUUUUUCUAAGCUAA
Molecule: ribosomal RNA, 802 nt
Filed under: uncultured Pseudoalteromonas sp.
Lineage: Bacteria; Pseudomonadati; Pseudomonadota; Gammaproteobacteria; Alteromonadales; Pseudoalteromonadaceae
Description: bacterial SSU rRNA
Rfam family: Bacterial small subunit ribosomal RNA
Source: RNAcentral